This is a non-coding RNA of Peromyscus maniculatus bairdii (prairie deer mouse), 432 nucleotides long. Lineage: Eukaryota; Metazoa; Chordata; Mammalia; Rodentia; Cricetidae. The record is from RefSeq and is a predicted model, not a curated record.
UAGAGAAGGACCAGUACUCAUCCAUCAGCUGUGCCUAAAAAAUGGCUGGGAACAUCCUGGUAAAGACCAGUAUGGAACACCUCAACUGGUCAAAAUACAGAGAUCAAGUGAUGGUGGGGAACCUAAUUCCCAAUGGCUCCAUCUACAACACAGUUCCUGCACAUAAGCCUCAGGGAACAUUGGGGAAGAGGAAUGGAGUAAACGUGCUGUGAGGUUGCUUCCUACGAAUGACAGGGAAGCCACACCCAAGGAAUUUUGCCAUUCGGUUUAAUGACCAAUGGAAUGAAGCGGGUUGGCCCGAUGGGCGUGGUCUUCUCUAAGAUACAGACCCUUUAAGAAUCGAAGGAGGCUGAUUAUGCAUCUGCUUUUUUGGACCGUGGAAGGCUUCCUGACGCCACAGUGUGGUGACCUUGUCUGGAGUUUCCCCAUCUC